Molecule: transfer RNA, 28 nt
Filed under: Aubrieta parviflora
Lineage: Eukaryota; Viridiplantae; Streptophyta; Magnoliopsida; Brassicales; Brassicaceae
Also listed under: 2 other names
Description: partial tRNA-Leu
Source: RNAcentral
AAAUCCGUUGACUUUUCAAAUCGUGAGG